RNAcentral lists this ribosomal RNA (399 nucleotides) under uncultured bacterium. RNAcentral describes it as "bacterial SSU rRNA". It matches the Rfam family "Bacterial small subunit ribosomal RNA", at positions 28 to 420 of the family's 1533-position model. The record is from RNAcentral.
GACGAGCGCUGGCGGCGUGCCUAACACAUGCAAGUGGAGCGACGAACCAGGGCUUGCCCUGGGGCCAAGCCGCGAACGGGUGAGUAACACGUGGGUAACCUGCCCCGAUGACCGGGACAACCCGAGGAAACUCGGGCUAAUACCGGAUGUGGUGGACACACUUAAGUGUGUCCACUAAAGGAAGCUUCGGCCUCCGCAUUGGGAUGGGCCCGCGGCCCAUUAGCUAGUUGGUGGGGUAAAGGCCUACCAAGGCAACGAUGGGUAGCUGGUCUGAGAGGACGAUCAGCCACACUGGGACUGAGACACGGCCCAGACUCCUACGGGAGGCAGCAGUGGGGAAUCUUGCGCAAUGCGCGAAAGCGUGACGCAGCAACGCCGCGUGAGGGAAGACGGCCUCGG